RNAcentral lists this ribosomal RNA (721 nucleotides) under Mycolicibacterium mucogenicum. RNAcentral describes it as "bacterial SSU rRNA". It matches the Rfam family "Bacterial small subunit ribosomal RNA", at positions 1 to 746 of the family's 1533-position model. The record is from RNAcentral. Lineage: Bacteria; Bacillati; Actinomycetota; Actinomycetes; Mycobacteriales; Mycobacteriaceae.
AAGAGUUUUGGNCAUGGCUCAGGACGAACGCUGGCGGCGUGCUUAACACAUGCAAGUCGAACGGUAAGGCCUUCGGGUACACGAGUGGCGAACGGGUGAGUAACACGUGGGUGAUCUGCCCUGCACUUUGGGAUAAGCCUGGGAAACUGGGUCUAAUACCGAAUAGGACCACGCGCUUCAUGGUGUGUGGUGGAAAGCUUUUGCGGUGUGGGAUGGGCCCGCGGCCUAUCAGCUUGUUGGUGGGGUAAUGGCCUACCAAGGCGACGACGGGUAGCCGGCCUGAGAGGGUGUCCGGCCACACUGGGACUGAGAUACGGCCCAGACUCCUACGGGAGGCAGCAGUGGGGAAUAUUGCACAAUGGGCGCAAGCCUGAUGCAGCGACGCCGCGUGAGGGAUGACGGCCUUCGGGUUGUAAACCUCUUUCAGUAGGGACGAAGCGUAAGUGACGGUACCUAUAGAAGAAGCACCGGCCAACUACGUGCCAGCAGCCGCGGUAAUACGUAGGGUGCGAGCGUUGUCCGGAAUUACUGGGCGUAAAGAGCUCGUAGGUGGUUUGUCGCGUUGUUCGUGAAAACUCACAGCUUAACUGUGGGCGUGCGGGCGAUACGGGCAGACUGGAGUACUGCAGGGGAGACUGGAAUUCCUGGUGUAGCGGUGGAAUGCGCAGAUAUCAGGAGGAACACCGGUGGCGAAGGCGGGUCUCUGGGCAGUAACUGACGC